UGAACUGCACAUUACCUGCGGAUUCACUUGUGGCCUUCAUGAGGCUGGCUACGACUUUUCCUGCGGAUUUCUGGAUUAGGGUUUUUUGCAUGAAGUCGUUAUUGUUGCAUCAGCAUGGGCCAAUCAGAUUAUUUCGUUGCCUUGCCCUAAACGCGGUCGUUUGGUUAAGUGGCUUUGUUAAUUACAAGUUUGCCACUCGGGGCACAUGACACAU
This 214-nucleotide long non-coding RNA is filed under the name Lathyrus oleraceus (garden pea). RNAcentral's name for it is "Pisum sativum (pea) long non-coding RNA (PSAT_LNC014690)". The record is from RNAcentral. Lineage: Eukaryota; Viridiplantae; Streptophyta; Magnoliopsida; Fabales; Fabaceae.